RNAcentral lists this ribosomal RNA (305 nucleotides) under uncultured bacterium. RNAcentral's name for it is "bacterial SSU rRNA". It matches the Rfam family "Bacterial small subunit ribosomal RNA", at positions 334 to 653 of the family's 1533-position model. The record is from RNAcentral.
UGGGCCUACGGGACGCAGCAGUAGGGAAUAUUGCUCAAUGGGGGAAACCCUGAAGCAGCAACGCCGCGUGGAGGAAGAAGGCUUUCGGGUUGUAAACUUCUUUUGUCAGGGACGAAGCAAGUGACGGUACCUGACGAAUAAGCCACGGCUAACUACGUGCCAGCAGCCGCGGUAAUACGUAGGUGGCAAGCGUUAUCCGGAUUUAUUGGGUGUAAAGGGCGUGUAGGCGGGAAUGCAAGUCAGAUGUGAAAACUAUGGGCUCAACCCAUAGCCUGCAUUUGAAACUGUAUUUCUUGAGUGCUGGG